CGCGUAGGCGGCAUGGGAAGUCAUGGGUGAAAGCCCCGGGCUCAACUCGGGAAUUGCCUGUGAAACCACUGUGCUGGAGUGCUGGAGAGGGAAGCGGAAUUCCCAGUGUAGCGGUGAAAUGCGUAGAUAUUGGGAGGAACAUCGGUGGCGAAGGCGGCUUCCUGGACAGACACUGACGCUGAGGCGCGAAAGCCAGGGGAGCAAACG
RNAcentral lists this ribosomal RNA (207 nucleotides) under uncultured bacterium. RNAcentral's name for it is "partial 16S ribosomal RNA". It matches the Rfam family "Bacterial small subunit ribosomal RNA", at positions 568 to 774 of the family's 1533-position model. The record is from RNAcentral.